GGGUGGCCAGGGUUGCCCCGAUUGUUAAUGCAGGGGUGUGGGGUGCCUGACCAUCAGAGCCCCUGGAAGAAGGGAGACAGGGACUAGGGACGUCUGCCUCUAGUCAGGAUCGUCUCUGGAGAGGGCCAGGGAGCAAGACCAGGCUGCCUUUGCCAUCCGUCCUGGAACCAACCCGAGGCUGUGCUCGUCAAGAGGGCUCCCCAUGCUCUCUUAGUCCCACAGGAGGAGGGCACACGGGCAUGAUAACCCAGCCCUGUGAGCAAGCUACGGCAGGAGCACCGCGGCAGAUCAAGGGGCAGAGAUAUGCACGGAGGAGAGUCUGUCCGUGGGCCUCGGGGCCACCUGCAGCCAGCUGGCGGAGUCCCUCUGCGCCUGCUGCGCCCUCCGGUAGCACACCUCCUGAGCAGUCGGGGGCCGGGCUGGGGGGGCCACGGGGGCCCUCCUUGGGGCCUCUGCCUGAAAGAACACAGGUCUUGGAGGCCAGCUGAGUCAAGAGCACUCGAGGCAGGCUGGAUGAGGAGCCCCAGGGUGGGGAAGCCUUCCCCCUUCCCAGCUCCUUGGCUUCUGGAGACCUUGAUCCCAGCGUCCCACUGCCCAGCAGUACGGGGAUAACGGUGGCACUGGUGACCUGUCUGCGCACAUCUCAAAGAUGAAGCCUUCCUGAGAAACUGCAUCUGGGACCCUGCCCCCGUCCCGGGAGGCUUUAAGGACUGAAUGUUUGUGGGCCCGAGCUUGUGGUCGCAGCCCUGGGUGGGUGGCCUCUCCUGGGGUUCCCACUGUCUCCCCGCCACAGCGGAGGCAGCCUGGGCUCGGGCUGGUGAGCCCGCUCAGCCCCACUACCCACUGGAGCCCUCCCACUCCUCCCUGAAGCCCCUGGGCCCAGGUCAGGACAGCGGACAGGAGCGGACAGGGAGGGCACGCUUCUCUACUGAACACCAGCUUACCAAAGGCCAGCUCAGGAAGCCUGGGGUCCAGACCGGGGGGCAGGCCUUCUCCCUCCAGCUCCCCACCCUCAUGCCCAAAUCUGGGUCUUACCUCCUUGCCUGGCUUGCAGAGGUGGGAGACCCUUCUCUUCUGCCCCGGGAACAGAGUGGUCAGGCCCGCGUGCGCCUUCUCCACGGCCUUCUCCUUGGGGGGCUGAAAACACACAGGCACUCCUCACUCCAGGUCUUCCUUGGGGCGCACCCCUGCCUUUCCACCCAGGCUCACGUCACCACCAGACCUCAGGCGGUCCUGCCGGUGAGAGCCCUACCCAGCGGGAUCAGCACCCUGCGGCCCAAGGCCCGCCCCAGCACCUGCCUCCCAGGCUAGGGUGGCAAUUCUGUGGACAGAAGGACAAGUGGGCACGGCCCUGCUGCUGCCCCCACACCCAGCCCAGGAUGACGGCUCAGACACGGAGUGCCAGUCAAGGGCAUCAUCCCCGUAGGCCUAGUGCUGGAGGGAAAGGGCCAGUCCAUCUUUGUCUGUUCAGGGAGGCUGAGGCAGCUCCGGGUUGUACGGGUCAUAGCCAAGCCCUGGGAGGGAAGGGAACACGGACAGCCCUGAGCCGGCCUGCCAGAGAUGGGCAAGAGGACACAGAGAACUCACACUGCACUUGUGGAGGGACCGAGUCCACACCCUCGCCGUGGGCCCACAGCAGGCAGCUCACAACCCCGCAACCCCAUCCAGUCUACCUCUGGCCUCCAUACGGACCUAACUCACACCCCCACACACAUUCAAACACAAUUAAAAGGAAAAAUCUUUUUUUAAAGCCUUAAUAAAGAGAUCAGUAGUUAUGGUGUGAUCCCACCAGUAUAAGCAAGAACUGUAUGGCCCAACCACGUCUAUCUGGAUGAGGGGUGGGGUGCAGGCACACUGUUGAUAUCCCCCUCUGAGCACUGUCCCCAAGGGAAGCUGGAAGAACACGCAGUCGAGGUGUAGAUCAGGGAGGGGAGUCUGUUCCAAAUCAGCUGGCCUUCUCAACAGCCCAUGCAGCCCUGCUGAAGGCCAGGCCCCAGACACUUGCAGAAAGCCCAGGAGACGACCCUGUGGCUGAUGACCCUGAGCUGGGGACCAUCCUGCAUCAGCAGGGCCUGGGCCUCCACAGGGUGGUCCUCAGGGAGGUAGGACUGGACUCGGGAAGGGCCUCCAGCAUGAGCAGGGUGAGGCUGGAGGAAGUGCAGUCUUCCAUG
This is a non-coding RNA of Peromyscus maniculatus bairdii (prairie deer mouse), 2171 nucleotides long. NCBI's taxonomy places the organism in Eukaryota, Metazoa, Chordata, Mammalia, Rodentia, Cricetidae. The record is from RefSeq and is a predicted model, not a curated record.